GUUAGAACCCCGCGAGGCAGGGUGAGGGGCGCCACCGAGGAAGCGCCCACCGGGCUCCCGGGGCUGCCAGGCCCCAAAUUGAGGAAGUUGACUGCCAGAUCACACUCUGUUGGCCCACGCAGAUAGAUUCCAUUCAUCCUUUCUAAUGUCUACACCAUAUUUUGGAUAACAUGCCAUCAUCUCACAUUGUGUUGAAAGAAGAAACCAGAAUGUUGGGGUUGAUGUAUGCCAUAUGGAUGAAUUUAAACAGUUUCGGCCUUGCAAUAAUUGGUAUACUUCUAAUUGCAUGUGAAAUUAUACUCUUUUUAACGAAAGAUGAAACUAUUCAGUGGCCACAUGUACCCAGUAACAGAGGGAGCAAAGCAAAUCUUAUCCUCAAAGAACUGCAGCUGCUUGUUAGAUCUACCUGGUGGUUCCAUAGAGAAACUGCUCAGAGAACCUGCCUUUACCUCGCCUAAAACAGAACUAUCCCGGAGCUCAGCAAAGGAGUCCAUUCAUCCUCUAUAACUGCUAUACAAUAUCUCUGUUAAAAUGCUGAGAAGAUUUAUCCUAAAAGAAGGCACCAAAGCAAUGGGGGCUGUGCAAAUAAUGAUUGGCCUGAUUCACAGUGCACUGGGAACUCUCUGAAUUCAUUGGAUUUUGCUAAGAGAGGAUUCAAGUGGUUCUGGUCCUAUCCCUAUAAUUGCUGUAGUAAUUUACUCAUUUUUGUCAUUAUUUUUUUUCAUCAACUCAGGAUCCAGUAGUGUAAUACAGAAGCCUGUUACGAGAUAUAAGGCACUUUGCCCUCGGAAAUCUCACUGUCGGAAUCCUUGGAAAUCACACCACGCACAACUUCUAUUUCUUCAUAAUUUGCAAAGAACCAGUGUGACUCCAGUCAAGAACAAAAGAUUAAUUGUGAAUUAGCGAAGAACUCUAAUUUUUUCAAGCAGCCACAUGGAAAACGCAUUCUAAUGAAAUCCUUUCCAUUGCUCUUUUUUCUUAGUUCUUCAAUAAAGCAUGCGAUUUGAUCACAAA
Molecule: long non-coding RNA, 1014 nt
Filed under: Homo sapiens (human)
Lineage: Eukaryota; Metazoa; Chordata; Mammalia; Primates; Hominidae
Description: non-protein coding lnc-MS4A8-17:1
Source: RNAcentral